Molecule: ribosomal RNA, 505 nt
Filed under: uncultured bacterium
Lineage: Bacteria
Description: bacterial SSU rRNA
Rfam family: Bacterial small subunit ribosomal RNA
Source: RNAcentral
GAUGAACGCUAGCGACAGGCCUAACACAUGCAAGUCGAGGGGCAUCGGGACGUAGCAAUACGUUGCCGGCGACCGGCGGAUGGGUGAGUAACGCGUAUGCAACCUACCCGUAGCAGGGGGAUAGCCCGUUGAAAGACGGAUUAAUACCCCGUAACACAGGGGCUCCGCAUGGAGAUUAUUGUUAAAGGGUCAUUUCUUUAGAGGUGGUCCGGCUGCGGAUGGGCAUGCGUUCCAUUAGGUAGUUGGUGUAGGUAACGGCUCACCAAGCCGACGAUGGAUAGGGGAACUGAGAGGUUGGUCCCCCACACUGGUACUGAGACACGGACCAGACUCCUACGGGAGGCAGCAGUGAGGAAUCUUGGUCAAUGGACGCAAGUCUGAACCAGCCAUGUCGCGUGAAGGAGGACGGCCCUAAGGGUUGUAAACUUCUUUUGCAGCGGAAUAAAGUUUGCCACGAGUUGGCGAUUUGCAAGUACGCUGCGAAUAAGGAUCGGCUAACUCCGUG